AACGAACGCUGGCGGCAUGCCUAACACAUGCAAGUCGAACGAAGCCUUCGGGCUUAGUGGCGCACGGGUGCGUAACGCGUGGGAAUCUGCCCUUGGGUUCGGAAUAACAGUUAGAAAUGACUGCUAAUACCGGAUGAUGUCUUCGGACCAAAGAUUUAUCGCCCAAGGAUGAGACCGCGUAGGAUUAGGUAGUUGGUGGGGUAAUGGCCCACCAAGCCGACGAUCCUUAGCUGGUCUGAGAGGAUGAGCAGCCACACUGGGACUGAGACACGGCCCAGACUCCUACGGGAGGCAGCAGUGGGGAAUAUUGGACAAUGGGCGAAAGCCUGAUCCAGCAAUGCCGCGUGAGUGAUGAAGGCCUUAGGGUUGUAAAGCUCUUUUACCAGGGAUGAUAAUGACAGUACCUGGAGAAUAAGCUCCGGCUAACUCCGUGCCAGCCGCCGCAGUAA
This 449-nucleotide ribosomal RNA is filed under the name uncultured bacterium. RNAcentral describes it as "partial 16S ribosomal RNA". It matches the Rfam family "Bacterial small subunit ribosomal RNA", at positions 29 to 523 of the family's 1533-position model. The record is from RNAcentral.